This 332-nucleotide ribosomal RNA is filed under the name uncultured Leptolinea sp. Its description in RNAcentral is "bacterial SSU rRNA". It matches the Rfam family "Bacterial small subunit ribosomal RNA", at positions 1036 to 1382 of the family's 1533-position model. The record is from RNAcentral. Lineage: Bacteria; Bacillati; Chloroflexota; Anaerolineae; Anaerolineales; Anaerolineaceae.
AGGUGCUGCAUGGCUGUCGUCAGCUCGUGUCGUGAGAUGUUCGGUUAAGUCCGCUAACGAGCGCAACCCUCGCUGUGUGUUACAAGUGUCACACGGUACUGCCGGUCUUAAGCCGGAGGAAGGUGGGGAUGACGUCAAGUCAGCAUGGCCUUUAUGUCCUGGGCUACACACACGCUACAAUGGCCAACACAAUAGGUUGCUAAGCCGCGAGGUGGAGCCAAUCCUCAAAGUUGGUCUCAGUUCAGAUUGCAGGCUGCAACCCGCCUGCAUGAAGAUGGAGUUGCUAGUAACCGCAGGUCAGCUAUACUGCGGUGAAUACGUUCCCGGGGCUU